GUGGAGAGAGAGAUAGAGGUUUUCCACCGUCGAGGAGCGCCGUCGAGCCACCGAAAGAGACGCCGUGAUUCUUCCCCGAGGAGAGAUGACGAAAGAGAGGCGGAGUGGUGGAGGAGAGCUAGAGAGACGCGUCGUCGUCGAUCAAAUAGGACACAAUCGACGACUCCACCGCCAGAUACGAGGUUUCCACCGACACAGACGCCGAUGGCUUCAUCCGGUCGGUGAGAAAUCGAUAAACCCCGGCGGAUUCGACGAAGAAAGGUGAAGAGACGCUGUUUCGUCUACGCGAAGGAGAGAAAGAGAGACGCC
Molecule: long non-coding RNA, 309 nt
Filed under: Brassica napus (rape)
Lineage: Eukaryota; Viridiplantae; Streptophyta; Magnoliopsida; Brassicales; Brassicaceae
Description: long non-coding RNA (BNAP_LNC011685)
Source: RNAcentral